GACGAACGCUGGCGGCGUGCUUAACACAUGCAAGUCGAACGGAAAGGCCCUGCUUUUGUGGGGUGCUCGAGUGGCGAACGGGUGAGUAACACGUGAGUAACCUGCCCUUGACUUUGGGAUAACUUCAGGAAACUGGGGCUAAUACCGGAUAGGAGCUCCUGCUGCAUGGUGGGGGUUGGAAAGUUUCGGCGGUUGGGGAUGGACUCGCGGCUUAUCAGCUUGUUGGUGGGGUAGUGGCUUACCAAGGCUUUGACGGGUAGCCGGCCUGAGAGGGUGACCGGCCACAUGGGGACUGAGAGACGGCCCAGACUCCUACGGGAGGCAGCAGUGGGGAAUAUUGCACAAUGGGCGGAAGCCUGAUGCAGCAACGCCGCGUGCGGGAUGACGGCCUUCGGGUUGUAAACCGCUUUCGCCUGUGACGAAGCGUGAGUGACGGUAAUGUGUAAAGAAGCACCGGCUAACUACGUG
Molecule: ribosomal RNA, 468 nt
Filed under: uncultured bacterium
Lineage: Bacteria
Description: partial 16S ribosomal RNA
Rfam family: Bacterial small subunit ribosomal RNA
Source: RNAcentral